This 1297-nucleotide long non-coding RNA is filed under the name Elaeis guineensis (African oil palm). Its description in RNAcentral is "long non-coding RNA (EGUI_LNC004147)". Lineage: Eukaryota; Viridiplantae; Streptophyta; Magnoliopsida; Arecales; Arecaceae. The record is from RNAcentral.
UCUGUUUAGUAUUCACUUCUACGCAUAUGCAGCUCUACUUACCAGAGUUCUGCCGAACAUUGCUCUGAAUUCAUACUAGUUCAGUUCUCAGGUCAGGCUUUCUCUAACAUAUCCAUCCUUUUUCAUUCCAGGUCCACCACAAAUGCCAAUAAGCAUGCAGAAAGGAAUACAUGAAUCAAAAUUUCUGAUUGACAGGGAAUGAUAAAGAAGUCCAAAUAAAACCAGCAAACCAUCUCUCAUGACAAGUAGUUACCAGGCAGAUAUUGGUGAUUUAAGAGGUAAAACUAAGUAUUUACCCACUAUAACUGCCUCACAAAGAGGUUGACUGGUCAUCCAUGACAAGGCCUUAUAAUUUUUCCGGACCUUGGAUCAACCUGGUCUCAGAAUCGGAUCCAUGUUAUGGACAAGUCUAGAGGCAGAGAUUUCAAGUACAGGUCAGAACUGGGUAUGCUCAAUGCACCUUAGGCACUAUGAUCAUUGGUUUCCAUAACAAUAAAAUGUAUGGAGAAUAUAUGUAAUGGACAAGUGCAUAAAAUGUCUUUUUCUAUGCACAUGUCCAGCAAAUUUAGUAGAAAUGGAACACCCGGUAAUGUCACAUCUAGUCUCUCAACCCAUAUAACUGGGACAAGGGUAGUUGAUUAUUGCUUGAUGCAGGAUCAUGAGGCUCUAUCAUCUAGUGAGGCACUGAUUUCCAGGUCCAUAUCAAACAAUACUACUACAAGGAAAAUAAUAGUAAUUGACAUCGGUGACAGAAAAGUACAGAUGGUGGUGCCUCCACAAGAUUGUUAAGAUAACAAAUGUGGUCCCCUGCAUGCAAAAUGGAGGAAAAAAAAGAGAGAGAAGGAUGAAGGUCCCUUAUGAAUCAGUGCCAUUUCAUAAGAGCAAUGAUUGAAAAGAUGUGCAAGAAUGCUCCUACAUCACUUAUCCUACCUGUAUAUUUAGGAUCUGUUGUGUCUGUUGAAGCUAACUACUGCCAAUGAAGUGAUUUCUUCAGUUUUAAGUUCCAAGCUCCUCUGAAUUGGGAUGCAUUCACAUCUUCUCUUAUGCACACUUCAGACGAUUGAAUUCUUGCAGUCCAACUGCCCUUGGCAAUGUCUACAAAAUCAUUCCAGAAAGAAAAACAAAUCAUAGCUCUUAUGUCUUGUUGUUCAGUUCAGUGGACCUUCAUGUGACACUUCAGGGUGUUCACUUCAUGAUGUAGUGGAUUGAGACUAUCUUUAGUCAUGGAAAUCAUUAUUAUUAUCAUCUUCUCCCUCAUUUUUUAUUGUCAUGUUAUUAGCCUCCAAGGGGAAUUAAC